UUCGUGAUCUCCAUUGAAAGGGGAGUCAUAAGUUUGACUCUUGACGAGCUAGGUGAAGCUUGGAGGAGAAGAUCAAACGGGAUAAAGGCACGAGUAAGACUUGCUUGGAUGAAAGGGGCGAAUAGUAAUUUGGGUAAUUGCGUCGCCAUAAGAAUAUCGAUAAUGAAAGCAAGGAGUCGAAACGGGUCAUUAGGUUGACUCGAGCCAGGUGAAUGUCGAGAGUCCCGGAUGAAGAUCAAGCAUCGAACAAGAACCGAACACACGUUAAACAAAGCUUCCGCAACGUUGUU
This 290-nucleotide long non-coding RNA is filed under the name Helianthus annuus (common sunflower). Its description in RNAcentral is "hypothetical non coding rna". The record is from RNAcentral. Lineage: Eukaryota; Viridiplantae; Streptophyta; Magnoliopsida; Asterales; Asteraceae.